UACGAAGGGUGCAAGCGUUAUUCGGAAUCAUUGGGCGUAAAGCGCGCGCAGGCGGAUUGACAAGUCAGGUGUGAAAUCUCGGGGCUCAACCUCGAAACUGCGCCUGAAACUGUUAGUCUAGAGUGUCGGAGGGGGGUAGGGGGAAUUUCACGUGUAGGGGUAAAAUCCGUAGAGAUGUGAAGGAACACCGGGGGCGAAGGCGCCUACCUGGACGACUACUGACGCUGAGGCGCGAAAGCGUGGGGAGCAAACAGG
Molecule: ribosomal RNA, 255 nt
Filed under: uncultured bacterium
Lineage: Bacteria
Description: partial 16S ribosomal RNA
Rfam family: Bacterial small subunit ribosomal RNA
Source: RNAcentral